CCCAGCCCCAGAGAUGCAGGGCAUCUGUGCCGUGCCAAGCUCGUGCUUGGCAGCAGGGAUGUGCUGGCAGGGAUCAUGUGGCACAGCACACCACAGGGACUGCAGUCCCAGGCAGUCAGACACCAAGCCCUGAGUGCUUUGGAGAGGUGGCUUCAUUUUGUGCUGGACUGCAAAGGUUACAGCAACCAUCGUGCAUGUGCGUGGCUCAGGAUCAGCCUCCUUCCCACAGCCAGGACCCUCUGAUGGACGCAGAACCCAGAACCAGCUCUGUGCUCCCCUCAGGGAACGUCACCACCUUGCAAAACCAGAGCUGAAGCUGGAGGUGUCUCCCUCAGUAAUUUCAUGCAGCAGAGGCUGCUCCAGAGCUGAGCCCUGUGCUGGAUUCACUGCCAGUGUCACCCAGCAGAGCAGCAGUGACAAACCCCAUCCUGCCCUGCUGGGGCUGAUGGAGCAGGGGAUGAAGGCUCUCAGUGCUGGCUGUUCCCUGCCCAGCUGCCAGCCUGUGCUCAUGGUGGGGCUGGAGGCCAUACAUGGACUCACACGGGCCAGGAGGGGCUGGGCUGGUGAUGGAGCUCCCACCCAGGCUCCCACACCCUGGAGCCAGGACAGCCCUGCAGCCCAGCCUUGCCACCAUCACCUCAUGAGUGUCCCAGCCCUGGGGUGUGGGAUCCUGGCCAAAGGGGUUCCCCAAAAUCUGUCCCUAUAGCUCCGUCCUGGUGCUGGGCUUGGUGGGCUCACCCGGCUCUACAGACGUGGGGAUGGACCCUCUGGGGCUGGGGGAGGAAUCGCUGCCUGCCCUGUGGAUGUCUGGGAUGGAAAAUCCAGGAGGGUGGAGGUGAGCCCGGGCAGGUGGGCUCCUCACAGAGCGGGGACAUGGAGCCCCUGCCUGGCCCCUGUGCUGCUGCCCCUUUUGGGAAAACCAGGGACCUCACCCUGAGGUCCCAGCAGAGCCCCAGGGCUGCAGCAAGGCCUUUUCCCAGGCCAGAUGGAGCUUUUCAAAGUCAGGGCAGUCACGGGAGCCUGCAGGCAGGCCAGGGAGCAUCUCCUCCUCCUCUGCUGGCCUGCACACCACCCCAGCUCCCCACGGCCAUCCUCCGCAGGGGCUGGGGAUUCUUCUGAAUCAAUUCUUCUCCAAGGAAAACCCACCAACCCUAAUGAAGUGAAUUAAGGGCUAUUUAAAGGGGGUACAGUUCCUUUAAAAAAUAAUACAAUCUCUAUGAGCGGAUAAACAUUGAUUUCCCAAUUACACUGUGGCUCCUCAAGCAGCCUUCGGCAAAGAGUGCGUUAAAGCUCUACCCUACAAAAAUAUCAGAACUUUACGACUCCCUCCCCAUGAACAGGCUAACCUAUAUUGAAAUAGGAGAAUUAAUGCUAGAAUGGAGUAACCAGGGUCCAUACAUGAAACCAGGAGGAAGUGAGUGAGCUAUUCCAAACGAGCUAUUCCAAGUGAACUAUUCCAAACGAGCUAUUCCAAACGAGCUAUUCCAAGUGAGUUGAGUUAUUCCAAGUGAGUUAUUCCAAGUGAGUUGAGUUAUUCCAAACAACUUUCUCCGGCCGGCAUGGCCCCGGUUCCCAGGCACAGCCCCGGCCGCUCUCCUCCCCCUCGCUUCCCCCAUCCCUCCUUCCCUCCUCUCCCCCUCUCCGCCUUAAUGACUUCCACAUGGGCCUCUGGCGGCCCGAGCCAAGCCUCCCAGCAUUGUCUGAAAUCUCCAAAUUUAGAAGAAAUAUGAAAAUUGUCAAGCGGCCCUUCCUUAGGGGGUAAAAGCAGCGCCGGGCCCCACGUGACGGCCCCCCAGCCAAUGGAUCCCCCCGGCGCCCCUGACAGCGCUG
Molecule: long non-coding RNA, 1830 nt
Organism: Zonotrichia leucophrys gambelii
Lineage: Eukaryota; Metazoa; Chordata; Aves; Passeriformes; Passerellidae
Exons: 3
Source: RefSeq, a predicted model, not a curated record